CAGUCGCCGCGGUAAUACGAAGGGUGCAAGCGUUAAUCGGAAUUACUGGGCGUAAAGCGUGCGUAGGCGGUUUGUUAAGUCUGUUGUGAAAUCCCCGGGCUCAACAUGGGAAUGGCAAUGGAUACUGGCAAGCUAGAGUGUGUCAGAGGAUGGUGGAAUUCCCGGUGUAGCGGUGAAAUGCGUAGAGAUCGGGAGGAACAUCAGUGGCGAAGGCGGCCAUCUGGGACAACACUGACGCUGAGGCACGAAAGCGUGGGGAGCAAACAGGAUUAGAUACCCGAGUAGUCCCUGUCUCUUAUAC
This 301-nucleotide ribosomal RNA is filed under the name uncultured bacterium. Its description in RNAcentral is "partial 16S ribosomal RNA". It matches the Rfam family "Bacterial small subunit ribosomal RNA", at positions 509 to 807 of the family's 1533-position model. The record is from RNAcentral.